This 781-nucleotide ribosomal RNA is filed under the name uncultured archaeon. RNAcentral describes it as "bacterial SSU rRNA". It matches the Rfam family "Archaeal small subunit ribosomal RNA", at positions 111 to 879 of the family's 1478-position model. The record is from RNAcentral.
CCCCUUGAAGGGGAACCCCGGGAACUGGGGCUAAUCCCCGAUAGACGAAGAAUCCUGGAAUGGGUUUUCGUCCAAAAGGCAUCAAGGUCAUGCUUCUUGAUAUCGCUCAAGGAUGAGGCCGCGGCCGAUCAGGCUGUUGGUGAGGUAAUGGCUCACCAAACCUAUAACCGGUACGGGCCGUGGGAGCGGGAGCCCGGAGAUGGGAACUGAGACAAGGUCCCAGGCCCUACGGGGCGCAGCAGUUGCGAAAACUCCGCAAUGCACGAAAGUGUGACGGGGCUACCCCGAGUGCUGUCCGCUGAGGAUGGCUUUUCCCCAGUGUAACAAGCUGGGGGUAAUAAGGAGAGGGCAAGUCUGGUGUCAGCCGCCGCGGUAAUACCAGCUCUCCGAGCGGUAGGGAUGUUUAUUGGGCUUAAAGCGUCCGUAGCUGGCUUUUCAAGUCUCUCGUUAAAUCCAGCGAUUCAAUCGUUGGACUGCGGGAGAUACUGUUGAGCUUGGGGGCGGGAGAAGCCGACGGUAUUUCCGGUGUAGGGGUAAAAUCCUUUAAUCCCGGGAGGACCACCAGUGGCGUAGGCGGUCGGCUAGCACGCGCCCGACGGUGAGGGACGAAAGCUGGGGGAGCAAACCGGAUUAGAUACCCGGAUAGUCCCAGCUGUAAACGAUGCGGGCUAGGUGUUGGAGCGGCCACGAGCCGCUUCAGUGCCGCAGGAAAACCAUUAAGCCCGCCGCCUGGGGAGUACGGCCGCAAGGCUGAAACUUAAAGGAAUUGGCGGGGGAGCAC